AACAUUUUCAAAUGGGUACUUCUCUUUUAGUAAUAUAGAUUAUAAUCCUUAGAUGCACAAACCAUGCACGAUUCUCAUAAACAGAAAAAUAAUUAUUUCAGAUUCACAAAGUUCACACACAUACGAAAAUAAAACUCAUAAUAAGCAAAUCUAGAAAUCUUAAUACUCAGAUCUAUCAAUUUCAAUUAUCAAGUUCAUAGAUCUAUUAUUCUUAAUGGAUUAAACAGAUGUUCAUAACCAUGCUCUGAUACCACAUGUAAGUUAAAUUUACAUGAACCCUAACAUAUUUAAACAUCUAGGUUAAUCACAUAAUAGAAUCAUAUGAAUGUUUAUAGAGUUACCUGGAUUCAUUGUGCCUGAGAGAUCUUCCUGAAUGGAUUGAAUCCUGAAUGGAAGAUGAACAGCUCAAUCUCUUCUUAGGAACUCUUAGGUUUCUCUCGUCUCGCCUAUAACAUUAGUUGUCGCUCUUUUUUUUGGAUCUCUUUAUGAUGGUCUAAAGAUAUGUAUUUAUAGGUGGAGAGAUGACUUAAUUCCUCUUUAGAGUUUCUUUAGAUUAAUCUCAACUGUCCAUCAAGGUAGAGAUAAAUUAGGAAUUACUCAUUUAUUUCCAAUUUCAUUGGUCACCAAAUAUAUUAAGGGAUAACAAUAUUUCAAUAGAAAAUGGAUAACUAUAAGACCAUAUAAUAGGGAAAGGAAAUAUUCCUUAAGAGACAAACAUUGAUCUUAAUGUUAACACGAAAUUGACAUGAUCUAUCACUCGACUCAGAAUGCUUCUGGCAAUAAGGUUAAACACAGCCUUCACACCAAGCCAAAACACUUCGGCUACAAAAAAAUAUAUAAGAAACGUCUUUCGUGAAACAUCAUUUGAAACGUUUCUGGUACAACUUUCAAGAGAUAGCUCUCGUCUAAUGAGGAUGAGCUAUACAAAUUUUUUUUGGAAAAAUUCAUGCAAAAUGAUUUUUUAAAUAAACAAAAUCACUCUAUUUGCUUCAGUCCAACAAAAGAGUUUCUUCCUUGCAAGCGAUCAGGUGUCUCUUGCCUUCUUCCUUGCAACAAACUACGAAGAAGACUUACACCUACCGUCUCCUUGCGACAAACUCCAAGGACCACUCUCUCAUAGCCUCAUGCUCGAUAUUAACUGUGGACAAGGCUCUCUCACAUAAUUACUAACGGCUCUCAUUGCCUCGUGUUCCCAAUCAAUCGUGAGUAUGGCCUAUCUAUUUGAUCGUAAGGCUUAAACAAAGCUUACAAGUAGAACCAAAACGUUUAUAGGUCAGAAGGUUAAAACCAAACCUUCAUACCAAAAUGAAACAUAUAGGUGACUUAUAAUUUGGUUUGUUAAAUAAAAAGUUUUUAUUGAAGUAUGGUAAAAAUAAGUAGUGAAUUAAAGAAAUUUUUAUUUCAUAAUGUUUUUAACUUGGGAAGAAAAGUAUUUGGUCCUCAAACGAAGUAAUUAAGUUGUCUGCAAGAUGAGUGAAAUCAUAUAACUCAAAUAAAUCCUAGAGAUAUCUUUUGUAAUUCUCAUAGUCUAUGUCUAUGUAACAACCCAAUAAAGAGCCCAUUGUUAGUUCAUUAUUUGCCUCAAUCCAAGAAAAGAAAAAUAAAGUCUUAAACCUUUCUUACAAAUAUUUAUAACUGUACUUCCCUCUUUUUAUCCAUCAAAAAGGUAGUUCUUUGCUUUGAGUCACUAAUCGUUAAAUAAUCCAACGACUGGUCCUCAUCAAGUUUUUCCCACCAGAAAAUUUUCCGGCGAGCUUUUGGGCAAGUUUCCAACAUAUUUUUAUGGCGAGUGAUAGGUGAAAUUCAGUUGAGUUUCAGCAAGUUUAUCAAUGACUUCCCAAAUCGUUUUCAACGAGUUAUGAAAAAAUCAUUGGAAAUUGUCUAGAAGAAAUACGGGGUUCUGGCGGAAAAGACUAAGAAAGAACGCUCGUAAGGAGACCUAUUGAAACCAAGAAAUAUAGGCAUGCCCGCCAUCCACACCAAAAUAAAUGGAGUUUUCCAAAAAAACCUGCUAGUGGAGGAAGACCUCGGUUUCGCGUUCUUCUUUGCCAAUAAGUAUCUCAAAGCCGCGUGGUCACCAUUCGUGCAGGUCGCUACUUAUGCGACAAGGAAUUUAGGAGGGUGACCCUUAUGAUAAAGGAAAGAAGAUGAUUGAAAGGUUCUCAAUAUCCAAUGGAUUUCCAUCCUUCAUUAAUGGAAAUUUUUUGCUUGAUCAUUUGCUCUCGUUAGACCGCCCUAGAGUACGAUACUGGUUCGCCAUAGGUCCGAAGGGCUGUCUCUUGUGUGCGAUGGUUAGGCAUGAAUGGAACUUGCUCGGUAGGCUUUCAGGGUUUAGUUAAGACUUUGCCGUCUUUUCCUCUCGCUUCGUAAAAAGUCUGUUGAACGCUUUUGUGCUAUUUGAUAUUUUUUUGUGUAUUUCAUUUACUGGAGAUGUUAUUUAAUUAUUAAUAAACUGUAAUUUAGGAUAAUUUAAAGAUA
Brassica napus (rape) is the source of this 2478-nucleotide long non-coding RNA. RefSeq lists it as uncharacterized. The transcript is spliced from 2 exons. The record is from RefSeq and is a predicted model, not a curated record. NCBI's taxonomy places the organism in Eukaryota, Viridiplantae, Streptophyta, Magnoliopsida, Brassicales, Brassicaceae.